GACGAACGCUGGCGGCGUGCUUAACACAUGCAAGUCGAGCGGUAAGGCCCUUUCGGGGGUACACGAGCGGCGAACGGGUGAGUAACACGUGGGUGACCUGCCCUCAGCUCUGGGAUAAGCCUGGGAAACCGGGUCUAAUACUGGAUAUGACUCCAUGACGCAUGUUGUGGGGUGGAAAGCCUUGUGCGGCUGAGGAUGGGCCCGCGGCCUAUCAGCUUGUUGGUGGGGUGANGGCCUACCAAGGCGACGACGGGUAGCCGGCCUGAGAGGGCGACCGGCCACACUGGGACUGAGACACGGCCCAGACUCCUACGGGAGGCAGCAGUGGGGAAUCUUGCGCAAUGGGCGAAAGCCUGACGCAGCGACGCCGCGUGGGGAUGACGGCCUGU
This 389-nucleotide ribosomal RNA is filed under the name uncultured bacterium. Its description in RNAcentral is "bacterial SSU rRNA". It matches the Rfam family "Bacterial small subunit ribosomal RNA", at positions 28 to 419 of the family's 1533-position model. The record is from RNAcentral.